This 429-nucleotide ribosomal RNA is filed under the name Verrucomicrobiota bacterium. RNAcentral's name for it is "Verrucomicrobia bacterium partial 16S ribosomal RNA". It matches the Rfam family "Bacterial small subunit ribosomal RNA", at positions 355 to 776 of the family's 1533-position model. The record is from RNAcentral. Lineage: Bacteria; Pseudomonadati; Verrucomicrobiota.
UAGGGAAUCUUCGGCAAUGGGGGGAACCCUGACCGAGCAACGCCGCGUGAGUGAAGAAGGUUUUCGGAUCGUAAAGCUCUGUUGUUAAGGAAGAACGAGUGUGAGAAUGGAAAGUUCAUGCUGUGACGGUACUUAACCAGAAAGGGACGGCUAACUACGUGCCAGCAGCCGCGGUAAUACGUAGGUCCCGAGCGUUGUCCGGAAUCACUGGGCGUAAAGGGUUCGCAGGCGGAAAUGCAAGUCAGGUGUAAAAGGCAGUAGCUUAACUACUGUAAGCAUUUGAAACUGCAUAUCUUGAGAAGAGUAGAGGUAAGUGGAAUUUUUAGUGUAGCGGUGAAAUGCGUAGAUAUUAAAAAGAAUACCGGUGGCGAAGGCGACUUACUGGGCUCAUUCUGACGCUGAGGAACGAAAGCGUGGGUAGCAAACAGG